CCUGGUUGAUCCUGCCAGUAGUCAUAUGCUUGU
RNAcentral lists this ribosomal RNA (33 nucleotides) under Cleobulia crassistyla. Its description in RNAcentral is "partial 18S ribosomal RNA". Lineage: Eukaryota; Viridiplantae; Streptophyta; Magnoliopsida; Fabales; Fabaceae. The record is from RNAcentral.